GUUCAGUGGUAGAAUCCUUGCCUGCCAAGCAGGUGACCUGGGUUUGAUUCCUGG
RNAcentral lists this transfer RNA (54 nucleotides) under Alligator mississippiensis (American alligator). It matches the Rfam family "tRNA", at positions 10 to 63 of the family's 71-position model. Rfam says of the family: Transfer RNA (tRNA) molecules are approximately 80 nucleotides in length. Their secondary structure includes four short double-helical elements and three loops (D, anti-codon, and T loops). Lineage: Eukaryota; Metazoa; Chordata; Crocodylia; Alligatoridae. RNAcentral also lists the same sequence under 1 other name. The record is from Rfam by way of RNAcentral.